GUGAGUUGUCAUUUGGGUGGUUACUUAAAUGGGAGAGGGGUUGGCUACUCCUUUGUGAUUUUCUUUUCUUUGUUCUUUCUCUCUUUUCUUUUGCUCAAAAUUUUGUUUUUUCCCAAAAGUGGCUGCCCUCAUUCCCACGUAUUUUUCUUUCUUUCUUUCUUUAUUCUGGAUAAGUUGGUGAGUUGUCAUUUGGGUGGUUACUUACGUGGGGGGUUGGCUACUCGUUUGUGAUUUUUUUGUUUCUUCUUUCUCUCUUUUCUUUUGCUUAAAACCAAAUUCAAGUGUUAUCACUUGUUUCAAUCAUUAUUGAUGUCUCGCUCAUAAUCUAUUUUGUUGCCAAUUUCUAGUUUGUGGUUUGAUUUGGUAAGUAAUUGGAGUAAGUCUACUAUAUUUUUUGGUUGGUGAAUAAUUUGGGGGCUUUCUUUAUUCUUGUAAUGAAAAUAUUUUUUAUGGCGUUAUUCGUCUUAAUGCUCAAAUAGGGGAAAAUCAAGAGGCUCGAGAUUAUCCUUCAACGACUUAAUUGUGUUAGGAACUGCUAUGGACGUUGGGUAAGUAUUCAAACGUUGAUGAGUUUAAUUCUAGUGUCGGAAUUGUGUAAUUGUAGGUUGUGGUCGAGUAAGUUAUUUGGCUUCUAUUGAUACAAACUCUACUAUCCGCAAGAAUAAUGGAAACGUCAAAUGAGCAAUAAAUCUGAAAACAUAUGAUAAGUCUGUGGUUCGUAUAUGUUAUGUUGUGCAUGUAAAGCUAUAUCAUGUUUAAUUUCUGCUCUAAAUAUGUAUGAUAUUUUUUGCACUCUUUAUCUGCAUCUGGGUUGGGUUGUAAAUAACAUGUGGAGAAAGUGAUUCUGUAAAAGGCGAUAUUGUCUAUUGAUUUGGUAGCUCAGCAACAACUAUUCUAUUGAUUUGGUAGAUCUUUCUUAUAUGUAUUUUACUGUGUUAAGUUUAUCAUUAUACACUGAGUUUCAAAACUCACUUUCUAUUUUAUUAAUAUUUUCAUGUAAUCCUUAAACUUAGGCACGAGAGCUCGAUUAUAUUAGUAUUUCAAUUCUUUAACCAUUUUAAAUUGGAUUCAGUAUUUUGUAAAAUUAGGACAGUUUGGACAAUUUGGCUCGGUUUUGGAUUUAAUUUUGGAUUUUUGUAUGAUAAUUGAUAAAACGAUUUACCAAAAAUGAAUAGUUUCUUGCAACCAACUAUUUUCGAGAAAACAAACUUGGUUUUUCAAAAUAUAAUGAUCUAAGAAUUUUCGCUGCAAAGUAUUCGAUUUAUUUAGAAAAGGUAAACAAAAAAUGUUUUUAAUUAAAUAAUUAUGUCAAACACGUGUUUUGUUCACGAUGUUUUUCAAAUAAAUGAAAGCCAGAUUUACAACUAUUAUACAUAUCAUCUCUAGAUCUAGCCAUAAUGUCCAGGCUGAGUUUGAGGUGUUACAUAGUUAUAAGUAUUUUAUAAAAAAAUAGUAAACAAAAAUAUAUUAUUAAUUAAAUUUAAUUAAUUAAAUAGAUAAAAACAUGUGAAAUAAAAAAAAACUAGUUUAUUUAUAAUUUAUAUAAAAGAAAAGAGUGGAUAAACUUUUAAACUAACAUAAAUACACCAUAUUUAUUGUUUAUUAUAGGCUUUAGGGUGUAAAAAACUCUCAAAUUUUUUUUUUAAAAAAGAGUAAUUAAGUCCCUAUUUUUUUUUGCACUCAAUUGGGUACUUGAACUUUCAAAAUGUAUAAAAAAACUCUCAAAUUUUUUUUUAAAAAAAUUAAGCUCCUGCUUUUGUUUUGUAGUCAAUUGGGUAUAUGAACUUUCAAAAUAUAUAAAAAUACCCUCAAAUUUUUUUCAAAAAAAAAUAUCAACCCCCUAUCUGUUUUUUUUUUUGCUCUUAAUUGAGUACUUGAAUUUUCAAAAUGCAUCAAGAAGGUCAUUUGAUCGUUAACUUUAACAGUUGACCAUUAAAGUUAACCACUCUUAAUUUUUUCCAGUUAAAGCCACCAUGUGUCACAACAACCGAAUGACAUGUGGCAAAAAACGAUAAAAAAUAAAAACCAAUAGAAAUUAUAAAAAUUAUUAAUUUUAAUAAAAACAAUAAAAAUGUUUAAAAUUUAUUAAAAAUUUAAAAGAUUAUAAAAAUCAUAAAAAAAUUAUAAAAAAAAUGUAAAAUUUUAUAAAAAUAGUAAGAAAUGUAAAAUAUAUAGAAAAUAGAAAAAAAAUUAUAAAAUUUUAUAAAGUCAUAAGAAAAUUAUAAACAAUGUAAAGAAAUAUAAAAUUUGUAAAAAUAUAAAAAUUAUCGUAGCAAAAGAAGCAUUUUAUAAUUUUUCUACAACUUUUAUUGAAUUUUAUUUUUAUCAUUUUUUGCCACAUGUCACGCUGUGUUGCGAUAUGUGAUGGCUUUAAUUGAAAAAAAUCGAGUAUCGUUAACUUUAACGAUCAUCGGUUAAACUUAAUGGUUAAAGGGCAUUUUUGAUGUAUUUUAUAAAUUUUUUUAUGAUUUUUAUAAAAAUUUACAAUUCUUUUAUAUUUUUAUUAAAAUUUGAUAAAUUUUAUCUUUUAUUGGUUUUUAUUUUUAUCAUUUUUUUGCCACAUGUAAUGUUGUGGCUGUGACACGAGGUGGCUUUUACUGAAAAAAUUAGGGACAGUUACCUUUAACGAUAAAUCUUGAGAUUAAUUGAUUGUUCAAGUAUUCAAUUGAGUGAAGAAAAGAGCAAAUGAUUAAUUGCUUAUUUUGAAAAAAUUUAAGGGCCUUUUUGAUGUACCUUGAAAGUUUAAAUACAAAAUUGAGUGAAAAAAAAACUUAAUUAUUUAUAUGUUUGAGGACUUUUUAUCUUUUGAUUAUAUUACUACAUAACCAUUUAAUUAAUUAUUAUUAGUAAAACAACAUUUAAUUAGAUCUAUAUAUUCUAAAAUUAACUCAAAUUUAUAUUCUAAAAUAUUUAUAUCCAAACUCAAAUUACCCCAAACACAAAUAGUAUACACAUUAUUACCCGAAAUAAAACCACUAACAGAGUUCAACAUGGUUAUUUCAAUGCACAAUAAGGAACGGGGAUUAAGAACAAAUCAUCUUUUCUUCUUGCAGUUAAGCCAAAUGAUUCAGUCAUUUCCAGAUCUUCAAACUUCAUCCCAUUUGGGAGCUUCCAAUCAAAAUGGUACAGCAAACUCGCAAGUGGUAACUCAAUACCGUGUAUCCCGAACAAAAUACCAGGACAAAUUCUUCUUCCAGCACCAAAUGGGAUAUACUCAAAGUUUUUUCCUCUAAAAUCCAUGGAGUUUUCCGAGAAUCUUUCAGGGUAAAACUCCUCAGCAUCUUUCCAGUAAAAGGGAUCUCUUUGUAUAGCCCAUGCAUUUACAAGGACUUUAGCUUUGGCAGCGAUCUCAUAUCCAUUUAUCACACAAUUUUCACGAGAUUGCCUUAGAAUUAAAAGCGCAGGAGGGUGCAACCUCAAAGUUUCUUUCACUAUUAAUCUUAAGAAUUUCAGCUCCUGAAUCUUUUCUUCGUUUAAUGAGGUAAUGUUUUCCCCGAAGACUCUUCUUACUUCAUUUUGUGCCUUUUUCAUCAGUUUUGGAUUUUUCAAUAGUUCAGACAUCGCCCAUUCUACUGUUGUGGCUGAUGUCUCGCUCCCAGCAGCAAAUAUGUCCUGAAAAGAUAUAUUUAACACAAAUAUUAUCAGGGGCAUGUCAAAUAGUUUAACAAUACAAUACACCAGUGGCAAAGUUAAAAUUAACAGUAACCUUCAUGACAGCUUUUAUGCUGUUAUUUCCCAAAGGGAAUUCAAGGUCAUCUUGCUGUUGAAGCUGAAGGAGAACAUCAAUCAAAUCAGCUUCAACCCCUUGAUGAUCUGCCUUGUUUCUCUUCUCUUUAUGUUCAUUAACAAUGUUUUCAAGGAUCUUAUCCGAAGCCUGGUGUAGUUUCUCCGCUUUAAUCCUGGUUCCACUAAUCAGUUUCAGCACUCCACUAGAAGGAUACAUAUCAGCUAAACAGAUAGCACCUGAGAGCUUAUUAGUUUCUUUGACGAUCCUUAUAAAUUCCUCUUGGCUUUUUGUUUUCUUCCCAAAGGUAGCCCUCGCUGUUAUCCCAUAUGACAGUGAAAAAAUUUUCUCACUAAGAUUGAUCGCAGACCCUUCACUCAAAGCUAUGGAUUUGAUGAAAUCUGUCACCUCUUCUGUUCUGAUUGACUGGAAUGAUUGGACUCGGGUCGGGCUCAAAAGUUCCAUGGUGCAGAUUUUUCUCAUUUGUUUCCAAUAGUUACCAUACGGUGUAAAUACGAUUGCUUUACAGUUGUAUGACAUAACCUCACAAGCUAGAACAUGAGGCCUUUGAGAAAAGAUGGUAUCAUGAGUUUUAAAAACCUGUUCGGCAACUCUUGCAGAUGAGAUUACAACGGUGGGAACUUCUCCGAGCUGAAGCUGCAUCAAAGCUCCGUAUUUGUUGGAUAAAUCUCUUAGGGUGUGAUGGGGAAAAGAAGUAAAGAGUUGAUGCAAGUUACCUAUGAGAGGUAAUUUCCAUGGACCUGGGGGAAGCUUAUUGAGGUUGGGUUUCUUGGCUUUUGAUGAUAUUUUCAGGAUUCUUACAAUGGUGAAGAAGAAAAUUAGGAAAGUAAUGAGGGGAACACAUGGAAAUUGAAACUCCAUGGAGAAGAAAAGAUGUGAGUUUUGGGGUACUAAAUUCCAAUUUAAUUACAAAUAAAAGGGGAGAUUAUCAAGACUUUAAAUAGAAAUUUGUUUUUUAUUUAAAAAAUAAGUAAAUUAAUCUCAAUAUAAAUUAAUUUUUCUUUAUUAAAAAUUUCAUUCAAACUAGCAAAAAUUAAGAGAAUAAUCAAAUAGUGAUGUACAUCAUACCAUGUGUAUUUUAUAUUGACAUAUAAGAAUCAAUUUUUAACAAUAAUAAUGAAUGAGAAUAACUAGACUAAUAAAAAUUAAUUUGCUCAUUUUCUACUUAAAAAAAAGCAAUUUAAAUUCUAAUACAAAAAUUUUCAUAGUAUUUUUCCUCCAAUAAUACCACUUGGUCGGCAAAUUAUGCCAUAAAAGAGAUUUUAGAUUUUGAAGUUGAUAAGAGUGUAUUAUCAUCCACAAGAACAAUUUACAGCUUUCACUUUCCAAAGCCAUAGUUGAGUCGAGUGAAAGGAUAUGACCUUAUCUUGGCCUUCUGGGUUUGAAUUAUUAAAAUAUCUAAUUCGGUGCGCUGGGCGCCUAAGAAGUUGUGUUUGACUCUCCUUUUUCUUUUCAAAGGAGAAUUUUGAUAUAAUGGAUAAGCCCAACAAAAAAACAUACAAAUAAAGCAACGCUUGACCAAGAGAUUAUUUAGCAGUGUUUAAAAUAAAAAUUUAGCUCUAAAAAUUUUUUUGAAAGAAAAAUUAUAUUAAAUAAGUUGUUUGGGCUGAAAUUUUUUGUUUUUUUGAAACCACUUUUGAAAAACAGUUCUGAACAUGAGACGUUAAAAUUUUUAGCUUUUUCUCUCUCAAAAAUAAUUUUGUUGUUUAAUUACUUUUUUAUCUCUCCAAUUACAUAAUACUUUCUUUUCUUUUUCUUAGUGCUUAAAUACAAAUGUAUUAAAAUCAUUAAUUAAAAAUAAAAAAAAUAUUUUUUAAAAUAAUACAAAUGUGUUAAUAUCUAAUUAUAAAUAUUUAAUGGUUAUAUUCAAAUAUUUAAAAUAUAAUUUAUAUGUUCUAAUUAAAUUUUGUAAAUAAUUAAUAUUUAUUGCUUAAAAAUAUUUAAAAUUUAUAUUUCAUAUAUUAAAAUAUUAACAACAAAUUAUAAUAAUUUUUUUAUAGUCUUACUAAAAUAUAAUAAUAUUAACUAAUUUAAACAUUAUUUUAAUGUAUAUUUGUUACUUGAUAAUAACAUGUUUAAAAUAGAUAUUUUUUUUCUCAAAAGUACUUUUUUAUAGUAAUGCUAAACACUUAAAUUUUAAAUUAAACUUUUCAAAAGUACUUAUCAAAAAUACUUUUUGACAGCAAUACUGAACAUUUAAAUUUUAAAUUAAACCUUUUAAAAAUACUUCUCAAAAAUAUUUUUUCACAAACACAUUUAAAAAAUAUUACUAAACUAGCCCUAAGAGUCAAACCAUACUAACGAAGGAACAAGCUAUACUUGAAUUAAGCUCCCACCGCUGAAUACAGAGGAACAAAGUAAGACCCUUGCGAAAACACGGACAGACAGAACAACACUGAAAAUUGCGCAGCUAGUCAUCAAAGUCGAGCAAGCCACCUUGAACCAUAAAGUCCCUUUUCAGGCCCUCGCUCUGGUAAAAUGGAAAUGCAACUAUUAACUUGAAGUAACAGAUGUGUAAAUGGUCAAAAUAGAUAAACCAAAAACAAGUCAAAGAAGACUUGAGGAAAUGAGCUGCUAGCAACUCAAGAAAAGACUUGUUAAUACACAAGUCAUCCUUGACUCGAGAAAACCUCCAUUGUAGGAGAAGCCAAGGGCCACACCCUAGGCCAUCUUAUUAUUCCGAGAAAAGUAAGGCCUCCUAAUGCUGAAAAAAUGCUAGGGCUGGCAAGGAUGAGCAAGAGGGUUUGAGGACGAGUGAGAUGGAAAGGAAAGGAGAAAGGGAAAGGAAGUUAGAAAAGAGAAGGGAAGGGAGAUACUAGGGAACCACAUAAUUUUAGAUUUUUAAAUUUUUUUUCUAAUUUAUAUAUAAUUAAAUGAAUUUUUUUAUGUAAGAGACUCCUCUACUUUCAUUAGUGGUCAAUGGUUCAAUUCUCGUAAUAAGUAUGGAACAGUUUUAAAAUUCGUGGUUAGUAUCUAUCCCUUAAUUUACCUACAGAACACAAAAGAUUAAUUAUUGGACUUAAUCCAGUGGACACUUGGGAAAUAAAAAAAGAUGGAGAGUUUUUUUUAAUAUACUUUUUUAUGUAAUUCAAUUAUAUAUAUAAAUAUUUAUUCAUUUUAAUUGUUAAUCUUGAAAAAAAUAUUUAGUAACUCCGGUUGUUUUAAUAAAAUUUUAUUGACAAAAAUAUUAUUUUUAUUUUAAUUAUUUAUUUAUUGCAUUAUAUGAAAAAUUUUAAUUCUAUAGUUGCAUGUAAAGGUGUUCAUGGGCCGGGCCGGGCUCAACUAAAAAUUCAGAUCUAUUUGUUAGGUCGAACUUAAAAAACGGGCAUAAAAUUUUGCCAAAGCCCGACCUAGAUAAAAAUGCUAAAACUCAGGCUCGGCCCGACCCGUCCGUAUUAAUUUUUUAUAUUAUCUAUAUAUAUAUUAAAUAUAUAUAAUAUAUCAAAAAUACUAAAAACAUCAAAAUAAAUAUUUCUCAACAAAUUGAAAAUAAAAUUUAAAAACUAUGUAUACUUAAAUAACACUAGCAUAUAUGCAACUUAACAAACAAAUACCUUUAAAAUAAUAACAAAAUUAACAAAUGCCUUUAAAAUAAUAACAAAAUUAACAAUAAAAUAAGUUUUAUAUAAUAUCCAAACAAUAAUAACAAAAUAGUAGUAAAAUAAUAAUGAAAUGGUAGCAAAAUAGGGAGAAAAUAAUAAAAAAAUAACAUUAAAAAAAGAGAGCAUAUUUUAUUUGUCAUUUACUUUAGUGCUUGAGAUCUGGCCUAUUUUUUAAACAAACCUUUUUUUUAGUGCUUGAGAUCUGGCCUAUUUUUUAAACAAAUUUUUUUUUUCAAGCCCAUUUUUAAGCCUAUAUUUUUAUUCAAACCCUCUCACAUUUUAAGCGAACCUUCAGGGUGGGCCGGGUGACCCGACCCAUGAACAGGUCUACUGCAAAAUAUGGUAAUGAAGAUAUUACAGGCUUUACAAAGAGAUCGUCCGUGAUAUACAUGUAUCUAUUCUAACUACUGAGCGCAUGAUGGGCGGUACGGAAAGGGAAUCAGGUACAAAUCACUUUUUCUUCUAACAGAAGCACCAAAAGCCUCAGUCAUGUCCAGAUCCUCAUUUUUCAUUCCAUUAGGGAGUUUCCAAUCAAAAUGGUACAGUAAUUGUGCAAGGGAAAGCUCGACAACAG
This 7921-nucleotide long non-coding RNA is filed under the name Gossypium barbadense (sea-island cotton). Its description in RNAcentral is "long non-coding RNA (GBAR_LNC013288)". Lineage: Eukaryota; Viridiplantae; Streptophyta; Magnoliopsida; Malvales; Malvaceae. The record is from RNAcentral.